This 501-nucleotide ribosomal RNA is filed under the name uncultured bacterium. Its description in RNAcentral is "partial 16S ribosomal RNA". It matches the Rfam family "Bacterial small subunit ribosomal RNA", at positions 30 to 523 of the family's 1533-position model. The record is from RNAcentral.
AUUGAACGCUGGCGGCAGGCUUAACACAUGCAAGUCGAGCGGGGGAAGGUAGCUUGCUACUGGGCCUAGCGGCGGACGGGUGAGUAAUGCUUAGGAAUCUGCCUAUUAGUGGGGGACAACAUCUCGAAAGGGAUGCUAAUACCGCAUACGUCCUACGGGAGAAAGCAGGGGAUCUUCGGACCUUGCGCUAAUAGAUGAGCCUAAGUCGGAUUAGCUAGUUGGUGGGGUAAAGGCCUACCAAGGCGACGAUCUGUAGCGGGUCUGAGAGGAUGAUCCGCCACACUGGGACUGAGACACGGCCCAGACGCCUACGUGAGGCAGCAGUAGGGAAUAUUGGACAAUGGGCGGAAGCCUGAUCCAGCCAUGCCGCGUGUGUGAAGAAGGCCUUAUGGUUGUAAAGCACUUUAAGCGAGGAGGAGGCUACUUUAGUUAAUACCUAGAGAUAGUGGACGUUACUCGCAGAAUAAGCACCGGCUAACUCUGUGCCAGCCGCCGCUGUAA